Eutrema salsugineum is the source of this 644-nucleotide long non-coding RNA. RefSeq lists it as uncharacterized. The record is from RefSeq and is a predicted model, not a curated record. NCBI's taxonomy places the organism in Eukaryota, Viridiplantae, Streptophyta, Magnoliopsida, Brassicales, Brassicaceae. The transcript is spliced from 3 exons.
CACAACAACAAAAAUUGUAACAAAAACUUAGGGAUUUCAGAAAAUUCCCUUUUUGCUCUCCCGUCUCUCUUCUUUCACUUAAUCCCUAUCUCGAUCUCUUCUUUCAAUCUCAAUAUAUUCAUCUCUCUGUUUCGAUCGCUCUUCUCUCUUCUCCCAGUCUCGACCGCCGGCAAGACAACGACAACCCAUGAGAGGAAAUCUCAGCCUGCGUAAGAACGCCCCGAUGGAUCUGUUUGAUAGUGACGAUGAUACAAAGUACAGAUUCGGAACUAAGAUUCAUUUUCCUAUAUGAAAGUUUGGGAAUUUAUCAGGGACUCUAAGAGAUGAAGCCGUCUUCCCAAACGUUAUUAAGAUACUUAACGAGGCAGUUGUAGUGGUGCUCGGCUCAUUGCAAGAAGUUUGUCCUCAUCGAGCCAGGAUAUGGCGGAUGCAUAACCGAUAAUCCGAUAUCAUAACAGUCUUCGGAAGGAUAUAUCACACCGUCCUCUACAACGCCAAGGAAUUCAGAAACGCAACAGUAAACAGCGACCUGCACUUAAAUUUGAAGGAAGUAUCUUUGUAUAUUUAUGCAAAGUUUAUACUACAAGGCUACAAGCAGUUUGCGACCAUAUCUCAACUUUAAAUUGUAGUAUCUUUGAUAAUUC